CAGCAGCCGCGGUAAUACGGAGGGUGCAAGCGUUAAUCGGAAUUACUGGGCGUAAAGCGCACGCAGGCGGUUUGUUAAGUCAGAUGUGAAAUCCCCGGGCUCAACCUGGGAACUGCAUCUGAUACUGGCAAGCUUGAGUCUCGUAGAGGGGGGUAGAAUUCCAGGUGUAGCGGUGAAAUGCGUAGAGAUCUGGAGGAAUACCGGUGGCGAAGGCGGCCCCCUGGACGAAGACUGACGCUCAGGUGCGAAAGCGUGGGGAGCAAACAGGAUUAGAUACCCCGGUAGUCCCUGUCUCUUAUAC
RNAcentral lists this ribosomal RNA (301 nucleotides) under uncultured bacterium. Its description in RNAcentral is "partial 16S ribosomal RNA". It matches the Rfam family "Bacterial small subunit ribosomal RNA", at positions 509 to 807 of the family's 1533-position model. The record is from RNAcentral.